UGAACAAGCAAUGAAUAUAAUGCAUCCUCGCAUUUUCUUUGCCACAACAAAAUAGACUCCUUGGGUUCUUCGUCUAUGGCGGAGAUGAGAUCGGAGAGGAGAUCAAAACAGAGGAGAGGAUCCGGGGAUUGUUGAGAGGAGGAAGCGACAAUGGACUCAAGCUGCGCCACCAGCACGCCGAAUCGCGAGAGUGGCACAUUCUCUCUGACAUAGUUCUUCGCCAUUGAAGAACUGAGAUUCCAAAUGCAAAGUGCAGUCCAGUGUUGAGGAGAAUGGACAGUGGCUUGUUUUCUUGUUUCGAUUUAUCCUACCAAAUGAUCUGAAAUCGGAAUCAGUUUUUUUUUUUU
RNAcentral lists this unclassified non-coding RNA (347 nucleotides) under Hevea brasiliensis (rubber tree). The record is from RNAcentral. Lineage: Eukaryota; Viridiplantae; Streptophyta; Magnoliopsida; Malpighiales; Euphorbiaceae.